This 121-nucleotide ribosomal RNA is filed under the name Paenibacillus amylolyticus. RNAcentral's name for it is "partial 23S ribosomal RNA". It matches the Rfam family "Bacterial large subunit ribosomal RNA", at positions 2799 to 2925 of the family's 2925-position model. The record is from RNAcentral. Lineage: Bacteria; Bacillati; Bacillota; Bacilli; Caryophanales; Paenibacillaceae. RNAcentral also lists the same sequence under 1 other name.
UCAAGAUGAGAUUUCCCAGUAUGUAAGACCCCUUGAAGACGACGAGGUAGAUAGGCUGGGGGUGGAAGUGCAGCAAUGCAUGGAGCUGACCAGUACUAAUCGGUCGAGGGCUUAUCCAAUA